This 469-nucleotide ribosomal RNA is filed under the name uncultured bacterium. RNAcentral's name for it is "bacterial SSU rRNA". It matches the Rfam family "Bacterial small subunit ribosomal RNA", at positions 335 to 795 of the family's 1533-position model. The record is from RNAcentral.
ACUCCUACGGGAGGCAGCAGUGGGGAAUUUUGCGCAAUGGGCGAAAGCCUGACGCAGCGACGCCGCGUGAGGGAUGAAGGUCCUAGGAUUGUAAACCUCUGUCAGGAAGCAUUAAAUGUACGGGCGUUAACACCGCCCGUGCUUGACUUAACUUCCAGAGGAAGCCCCGGCUAACUACGUGCCAGCAGCCGCGGUAAUACGUAGGGGGCAAGCGUUACUCGGAUUUAUUGGGCGUAAAGAGAAUUAAGGCGGUCAUGUAAGUCAGUGGUGAAAUCCCCCGGCUCAACUGGGGAAUUGCCUUUGAUACUGCGUGACUUGAGGACAGGAGAGAAAGGCGGAAUUCCCGGUGUAGCGGUGGAAUGCGUAGAUAUCGGGAGGAACACCUGAGGCGAAGGCGGCUUUCAGGACUGGUCCUGACGCUGAUAUUCGAAAGCUAGGGGAGCAAACAGGAUUAGAUACCCUGGUAGUC